RNAcentral lists this ribosomal RNA (502 nucleotides) under uncultured bacterium. RNAcentral's name for it is "bacterial SSU rRNA". It matches the Rfam family "Bacterial small subunit ribosomal RNA", at positions 28 to 527 of the family's 1533-position model. The record is from RNAcentral.
GAUGAACGCUAGCGGCAGGCCUAACACAUGCAAGUCGAGGGGCAGCACGUCUUCGGAUGGUGGCGACCGGCGCACGGGUGCGUAACGCGUAUGCAACCUACCUUGUACAGAGGGAUAGCCCAGAGAAAUUUGGAUUAAUACCUCAUAGUAUCUUUACCUGGCAUCGGGUAAUUAUUAAAGUUCCAACGGUACAAGAUGAGCAUGCGUCCCAUUAGUUAGUUGGUAAGGUAACGGCUUACCAAGACAAUGAUGGGUAGGGGUCCUGAGAGGGAGAUCCCCCCACACUGGUACUGAGACACGGACCAGACUCCUACGGGAGGCAGCAGUGAGGAAUAUUGGUCAAUGGACGCAAGUCUGAACCAGCCAUGCCGCGUGCAGGAAGACGGUCCUAUGGAUUGUAAACUGCUUUUUANACAGGAAGAAACAACUCUACGUGUAGAGUCUUGACGGUACUGUAGGAAUAAGGAUCGGCUAACUCCGUGCCAGCAGCCGCGGUAAAGUG